Molecule: non-coding RNA, 30 nt
Filed under: Mus musculus (house mouse)
Lineage: Eukaryota; Metazoa; Chordata; Mammalia; Rodentia; Muridae
Source: RNAcentral
UCAGAUGAAAGGUCCCAUCUGGGCCAUUAG